UACGGAGGGGACUAGCGUUGUUCGGAAUUACUGGGCGUAAAGCGCACGUAGGCGGAUUUGUAAGUCAGGGGUGAAAUCCCGAGGCUCAACCUCGGAACUGCCUUUGAUACUGCAAAUCUCGAGUCCGGAAGAGGUGAGUGGAAUUCCUAGUGUAGAGGUGAAAUUCGUAGAUAUUAGGAAGAACACCGGUGGCGAAGGCGGCCCACUGGAUCGGUACUGACGCUGAGGUGCGAAAGCGUGGGGAGCAAACAGG
Molecule: ribosomal RNA, 253 nt
Filed under: uncultured bacterium
Lineage: Bacteria
Description: partial 16S ribosomal RNA
Rfam family: Bacterial small subunit ribosomal RNA
Source: RNAcentral